GGAGUAUGGGCCGUGUCUCAGUCCCAUUGUGGCUGAUCAUCCUCUCAAACCAGCUACUGAUUGUCGCCUUGGUGGUCCAUUACACCCCCAACUAGCUAAUCAGAUGCAGACUCAUCCUGAAGCGAUAAAUCUUUCACGAAUAGUAUCUCAACUACGCGCAUAUGGGGUAUUAGCAGAAGUUUCCCUCUGUUGUCCCCCUCUUCAGGGCAGAUUCUCUACACAUUACUCACCCGUCCGCCACUUUCCUCCGGUGCAAGCACCGGAUUCUCGUUCGACUUGCAUGUAUGAAGCACGCCGCCAGCGUUCGUCCUGAGCCACUGAUCAAACUCU
Molecule: ribosomal RNA, 330 nt
Filed under: uncultured cyanobacterium
Lineage: Bacteria; Bacillati; Cyanobacteriota
Description: partial 16S ribosomal RNA
Source: RNAcentral